This 88-nucleotide transfer RNA is filed under the name Cyathodium cavernarum. RNAcentral describes it as "tRNA-Ser". It matches the Rfam family "tRNA". Rfam says of the family: Transfer RNA (tRNA) molecules are approximately 80 nucleotides in length. Their secondary structure includes four short double-helical elements and three loops (D, anti-codon, and T loops). RNAcentral also lists the same sequence under 1 other name. The record is from RNAcentral. Lineage: Eukaryota; Viridiplantae; Streptophyta; Marchantiopsida; Marchantiales; Cyathodiaceae.
GGAAAGAUGAUCGAGUGGUUUAAGAUAUAGCAGUGGAAAUGCUAUGUAGACUUUUUGUUUACCAAGGGUUCGAAUCCCUUUCUUUCCG